This 944-nucleotide ribosomal RNA is filed under the name uncultured bacterium. RNAcentral describes it as "bacterial SSU rRNA". It matches the Rfam family "Bacterial small subunit ribosomal RNA", at positions 8 to 948 of the family's 1533-position model. The record is from RNAcentral.
AGAGUUUGAUCAUGGCUCAGAUUGAACGCUGGCGGCGUGCCUAACACAUGCAAGUCGAGCGGUAACAGGUGUAGCAAUACAUGCUGACGAGCGGCGAACGGGUGAGUAAUGCUUUGGAAUCUUCCCAGUAGUGGGGAAUAACCAGUCGAAAGAUUGGCUAAUACCGCAUACGUCUGAAAAGGGAAAGCGGGGGCUCGUAAGACCUCGCGCUAUUGGAUGAGCCAAAGUCGGAUUAGCUAGUUGGUGGGGUAAUGGCCUACCAAGGCGACAAUCCGUAGCUGGUCUGAGAGGACGACCAGCCACACCGGAACUGAGACACGGUCCGGACUCCUACGGGAGGCAGCAGUGGGGAAUAUUGGACAAUGGGGGAAACCCUGAUCCAGCGACGCCGCGUGUGUGAAGAAGGCCUGCGGGUUGUAAAGCACUUUUAGUGGGGACAAAAAGCUACGGACUAAUACUCUGUGGUCUUGAUUUAACCCAAAGAAAAAGCACCGGCUAACUCUGUGCCAGCAGCCGCGGUAAUACAGAGGGUGCGAGCGUUAAUCGGAAUUACUGGGCGUAAAGCGCGCGUAGACGGUUUUGUAAGUCAGAUGUGAAAUCCCUGGGCUCAACCUGGGAACUGCAUUUGAAACUGCAUGGCUAGAGUAUGGAAGAGGGAAGUGGAAUUUCCCGGUGUAGCGGUGAAAUGCGUAGAUAUCGGAAGGAACACCAGUGGCGAAAGCGACUUCCUGGUCCAAUACUGACGUUCAUGUGCGAAAGCGUGGGGAGCAAACAGGAUUAGAUACCCUGGUAGUCCACGCCAUAAACGAUGACACUAGAUGUUGGGAGGGUCUGCCUCUCGUGUCGCAGCUAACGCGUUAAGUUGUCCGCCUGGGGGAGUACGCCGCAAGUUGAAACUCAAGGAAUUGACGGGACCCGCCACAGCGGUGGGAGCAUGUGGUUUA